UAGCAGGUGCUGGUCAUGUUAUCUCUGGAU
This 30-nucleotide non-coding RNA is filed under the name Homo sapiens (human). Lineage: Eukaryota; Metazoa; Chordata; Mammalia; Primates; Hominidae. The record is from RNAcentral.